Molecule: ribosomal RNA, 500 nt
Filed under: uncultured bacterium
Lineage: Bacteria
Description: partial 16S ribosomal RNA
Rfam family: Bacterial small subunit ribosomal RNA
Source: RNAcentral
AUUGAACGCUGGCGGAAUGCUUUACACAUGCAAGUCGAACGGCAGCACGGGGGCAACCCUGGUGGCGAGUGGCGAACGGGUGAGUAAUACAUCGGAACGUGCCCAGUCGUGGGGGAUAACGUAGCGAAAGUUACGCUAAUACCGCAUACGAUCUACGGAUGAAAGCGGGGGACCGUAAGGCCUCGCGCGAUUGGAGCGGCCGAUGUCAGAUUAGGUAGUUGGUGAGGUAAAGGCUCACCAAGCCGACGACCUGUAGCUGGUCUGAGAGGACGACCAGCCACACUGGGACUGAGACACGGCCCAGACUCCUACGGGAGGCAGCAGUGGGGAAUUUUGGACAAUGGGCGCAAGCCUGAUCCGGCCAUUCCGCGUGCAGGACGAAGGCCUUCGGGUUGUAAACUGCUUUUGUACGGAACGAAAAGGCUCUGGUUAAUACCUGGGGCUCAUGACGGUACCGUAAGAAUAAGCACCGGCUAACUACGUGCCAGCCGCCGCGGUAA